CCUACGGGAGGCAGCAGUGGGGAAUAUUGGACAAUGGGGGAAACCCUGAUCCAGCGACGCCGCGUGAGUGAAGAAGUAUUUCGGUACGUAAAGCUCUAUCAGCAGGGAAGAAAAUGACGGUACCUGACUAAGAAGCCCCGGCUAACUACGUGCCAGCAGCCGCGGUAAUACGUAGGGGGCAAGCGUUAUCCGGAUUUACUGGGUGUAAAGGGAGCGUAGACGGCAGCGCAAGUCUGGAGUGAAAUGCCGGGGCUCAACCCCGGAACUGCUUUGGAAACUGUGAAGCUGGAGUGCAGGAGAGGUAAGCGGAAUUCCUGGUGUAGCGGUGAAAUGCGUAGAUAUCAGGAGGAACACCGGCGGCGAAGGCGGCUUACUGGACUGUAACUGACGUUGAGGCUCGAAGGCGUGGGGAGCAAACAGGAUUAGAUACCCGAGUAGUC
This 440-nucleotide ribosomal RNA is filed under the name uncultured bacterium. Its description in RNAcentral is "partial 16S ribosomal RNA". It matches the Rfam family "Bacterial small subunit ribosomal RNA", at positions 338 to 795 of the family's 1533-position model. The record is from RNAcentral.